ACGCUGGCGGCGUGCUUAACACAUGCAAGUCGAACGAGAAUCUGCGGGAACGAGGAUUCGUCCAAGUGAAGCAGAGGACAGUGGCGGACGGGUGAGUAACGCGUGAGGAACCUGCCUUUCAGAGGGGACAACAGUUGGAAACGACUGCUAAUACCGCAUAACACAUAGGAGUCGCAUGGCUCUUAUGUCAAAGAUUUAUCGCUGAAAGAUGGCCUCGCGUCUGAUUAGCUAGUUGGUGAGGUAACGGCCCACCAAGGCGACGAUCAGUAGCCGGACUGAGAGGUUGAACGGCCACAUUGGGACUGAGAUACGGCCCAGACUCCUACGGGAGGCAGCAGUGGGGAAUAUUGGGCAAUGGGCGCAAGCCUGACCCAGCAACGCCGCGUGAAGGAAGAAGGCUUUCGGGUUGUAAACUUCUUUUGUCAGGGACGAGCAGAAGACGGUACCUGACGAAUAAGCCACGGCUAACUACGUG
This 475-nucleotide ribosomal RNA is filed under the name uncultured bacterium. Its description in RNAcentral is "bacterial SSU rRNA". It matches the Rfam family "Bacterial small subunit ribosomal RNA", at positions 33 to 507 of the family's 1533-position model. The record is from RNAcentral.